RNAcentral lists this ribosomal RNA (199 nucleotides) under uncultured bacterium. RNAcentral describes it as "partial 16S ribosomal RNA". It matches the Rfam family "Bacterial small subunit ribosomal RNA", at positions 328 to 539 of the family's 1533-position model. The record is from RNAcentral.
ACGCUCGACACCUACUGGAGGCAGCAGUUGGGAAUAUUGGACAAUGGAGGAAACUCUGAUCCAGUGACGCCGCGUGAAGGAAGAAGGUCUUCGGAUUGUAAACUUAUUUUGUCAGGGAAGAAAAAUGACUGUACCUGAAGAAAAAGCACCGGCUAACUACGUGCCAGCAGCCGCGGUAAUCUGAGCGGGCUGGCAAGGC